UGUGCAGGCGGUUCGGUAAGUUGGAUGUGAAAUCUCCUGGCUCAACUGGGAGAGGUCGUUCAAUACUGUCGGACUAGAGGGCGGUAGAGGGAGGUGGAAUUCCCGGUGUAGUGGUGAAAUGCGUAGAUAUCGGGAGGAACACCUGUGGCGAAAGCGGCCUCCUGGACCGUUCCUGACGCUCAUACACGAAAGCUAGGGGAGCGAACGGGAUUAGAAACCCCGGUAGUCCUAGCCGUAAACGAUGUGGACUGGGUGUCGGUGGGGUAAAAGCCAUCGGUGCCGAAGCCAACGCGAUAAGUCCACCGCCUGGGGACUACGGCCGCAAGGUUAAA
RNAcentral lists this ribosomal RNA (332 nucleotides) under uncultured bacterium. RNAcentral's name for it is "bacterial SSU rRNA". It matches the Rfam family "Bacterial small subunit ribosomal RNA", at positions 568 to 898 of the family's 1533-position model. The record is from RNAcentral.